This 853-nucleotide long non-coding RNA is filed under the name Brassica napus (rape). RNAcentral's name for it is "long non-coding RNA (BNAP_LNC010291)". The record is from RNAcentral. Lineage: Eukaryota; Viridiplantae; Streptophyta; Magnoliopsida; Brassicales; Brassicaceae.
UGAGAGUGUAGUGACCAUUCUAUCCAGUACGUUUGAGGUGCAGAGCUAUUCCCUAUGUAAAACCAGAUUUGCAAAAUAUUUGAGGCAAAAGAAAAUGUUAGAAACCAAAUCAAUCGGUAGACUGUGUUGCUAUUUUUAGAGCGGCAUAAACGCAAGAAAUUUUACUGUGGGCCUUAUGUGUGUGUGUGUUGAAUCCGGUAUUAUGGCAGGAUAAAAAUCGCAAUUGUCGGUAAUAGAACUCACAAGAGGAAAAGAGAGCUAGAACUUCCUUCUCUGGCUCGAAAGGUAACAGAUGUGACAUAACAGAUGCCAUUCACAAAGUGUUAAUGCAAAGUAAAACCCACUACCGUAAAGGCACAAGCUUUCAACCAAAAGAAACAAGUUGUCAUCAAAAUUCAGCAUAAAACACAACUAUCAAUAUGAAUCUGACAACAAAUAAGCUCUAGACUUUACAGAUAAGAGCCUGACAAAUAAGACCAGUCAGAAUUUGGAUUUCAUGUCCGUUUUAUGGGAACACGACAACGGCAACGGUGAAGGCAUAGGCGGACAGAAACACAACGAUGGAGGCAGAGAUGUAGACUUUUGCUAUCACGACAGUGGAGAGGAAGCCUUACUGGGACACAAAGAUGAAACCUUUCGACAUCUAAAUCAUUGAAAUUGCAGGCCCUUGAAGAAAGUUACGGUUCUUUAUUCUUCUUUUGAUGUUCAGGUGGUUGAAGAAUAAAAAUAUGUAUGUGAAAGGAGACAACAAAUCAUAACAUAUUUUGCUGCAAAAACCUGAAGUUAUUUGUUAUUUAGUUGACAUAUCUAUUUUAUAGGGAUACAUUUUGGAAUUUAUGAAAGAUCUACAGCA